RNAcentral lists this ribosomal RNA (497 nucleotides) under uncultured bacterium. RNAcentral's name for it is "partial 16S ribosomal RNA". It matches the Rfam family "Bacterial small subunit ribosomal RNA", at positions 28 to 507 of the family's 1533-position model. The record is from RNAcentral.
GAUGAACGCUGGCGGCGUGCCUAAUACAUGCAAGUCGAGCGAACAGACGAGGAGCUUGCUCCUCUGACGUUAGCGGCGGACGGGUGAGUAACACGUGGAUAACCUACCUAUAAGACUGGGAUAACUUCGGGAAACCGGAGCUAAUACCGGAUAAUAUAUUGAACCGCAUGGUUCAAUAGUGAAAGACGGUUUUGCUGUCACUUAUAGAUGUAUCCGCGCCGCAUUAGCUAGUUGGUAAGGUAACGGCUUACCAAGGCAACGAUGCGUAGCCGAACUGAGAGGGUGAUCGGCCACACUGGAACUGAGACACGGUCCAGACUCCUACGGGAGGCAGCAGUAGGGAAUCUUCCGCAAUGGGCGAAAGCCUGACGGAGCAACGCCGCGUGAGUGAUGAAGGUCUUCGGAUCGUAAAACUCUGUUAUUAGGGAAGAACAAAUGUGUAAGUAACUAUGCACGUCUUGACGGUACCUAAUCAGAAAGCCACGGCUAACUACGUG